AACGAACGCUGGCGGCAUGCCUAACACAUGCAAGUCGAACGAGACCUUCGGGUCUAGUGGCGCACGGGUGCGUAACGCGUGGGAACCUGCCUUUAGGUUCGGAAUAACUCAGAGAAAUUUGAGCUAAUACCGGAUAAUGUCUUCGGACCAAAGAUUUAUCGCCUUUAGAUGGGCCCGCGUUGGAUUAGCUAGUUGGUGGGGUAAAGGCCUACCAAGGCGACGAUCCAUAGCUGGUCUGAGAGGAUGAUCAGCCACACUGGGACUGAGACACGGCCCAGACUCCUACGGAGGCAGCA
This 296-nucleotide ribosomal RNA is filed under the name uncultured bacterium. RNAcentral describes it as "partial 16S ribosomal RNA". It matches the Rfam family "Bacterial small subunit ribosomal RNA", at positions 29 to 353 of the family's 1533-position model. The record is from RNAcentral.